GCCAGACUCCUACGGGAGGCAGCAGUGAGGAAUAUUGGUCAAUGGGCGGGAGCCUGAACCAGCCAAGUCGCGUGAGGGAUGACGGCCCUAUGGGUUGUAAACCUCUUUUGUCAGGGAGCAACGCCGGCUACGUGUAGCCGGACUGAGAGUACCUGAAGAAAAAGCAUCGGCUAACUCCGUGCCAGCAGCCGCGGUAAUACGGAGGAUGCGAGCGUUAUCCGGAUUUAUUGGGUUUAAAGGGUGCGUAGGCGGGCUUUUAAGUCAGCGGUAAAAAUUCGGGGCUCAACCCCGUCCGGCCGUUGAAACUGGGGGCCUUGAGUGGGCGAGAAGAAGGCGGAAUGCGUGGUGUAGCGGUGAAAUGCAUAGAUAUCGCGCAGAACUCCGAUUGCGAAGGCAGCAUGCCGGCUCCACACUGACGCUGAGGCACGAAAGCGUGGGUAUCGAACAGGAUUAGAUACCCGCGUA
RNAcentral lists this ribosomal RNA (465 nucleotides) under uncultured bacterium. RNAcentral's name for it is "bacterial SSU rRNA". It matches the Rfam family "Bacterial small subunit ribosomal RNA", at positions 330 to 792 of the family's 1533-position model. The record is from RNAcentral.